Non-coding RNA from Poecilia formosa (Amazon molly), 94 nucleotides. NCBI's taxonomy places the organism in Eukaryota, Metazoa, Chordata, Actinopteri, Cyprinodontiformes, Poeciliidae. The record is from Rfam.
GCUCCAGUGGCACAAUCAGUCAGCACACAGUACUUAUAAGACAGUCACCUGCAAAGUGAUGCCAAGGUUGUGAGUUCAAGUCUCACCUGGAGCA